RNAcentral lists this long non-coding RNA (3127 nucleotides) under Sus scrofa (pig). RNAcentral describes it as "lncRNA (ENSSSCG00045023818.1)". Lineage: Eukaryota; Metazoa; Chordata; Mammalia; Artiodactyla; Suidae. The record is from RNAcentral.
CAAUCUGUUUAGUUCUCAUAUAUUAAAUUUAUUCAUAUAUUGAAUAAAUGUUUAAGACAUUUAAGCUUACCUAUUGAAUUACAUGUGUAUAUCUUUUGAUUUCUGGUGUGUGUCUUUAAGAGUUUUUAAAUGAAUUUUAUUUAACUAUUUUAUAAGAUUAAUCAAUCCAUAAUAAAUAUGUAUUAUUUUUUAUUUAUAGAAAUUUUUGCUUUGAGGUAGGCUUUAUAAUAUUUAACUUUGCUUUUCUGAAAUGGAAUGAUUUCUUCUUUAGCCUACAGACCAAAUACAGUGUUAAAGAAAACUUCUAAAUACAAUGACUGAGAAUAUAAUUUCAAUUUAAGGUUCUUUAUUUAUUCAGGCCUAGAAAAUAAAAACAAGGUAAAAAUAAAUGAUAAAUUUAUCCAAAAAGCAAAUUUCAAAAACUGCUUUUCAUUCAAUUUAGGAUUUGGAUGAGGUGAUAAACUUUCCCUGAGGACCUGUGCCAGGUUCUACUUAAACAGAGCAUUGAUAUAUUUCCUUACUUCCUCAGAAAACACCACUAAAAUGAGAAUGAGGGGAUUGGAUCAUGUAAAUUCAUAAGAAAAAAACAGAAAUGGAGAAACAGAGCUCUACAAAAUUUUGGAAGAUAAAAAGUUUUGAAAAAGCCGAAAUAGAUAACCCUAUGAGGAGCAAGCUGAUUCUGGCCAUAGAAAACCAGGUAGAAGUAUUAUAACUUUGCUUUAAAGUUGUCCUUUCAAGACUUCAUAAAACAGAGUUCCAAGAAUCAAACUUAACCAGGCAUUCUCAGUACCAGGAUGCUGUGGAAUUCUGGCUGGAAAAGAAAAUAGAGGCAAGAAGUAAUACAGACAUAAGCAUUGGGCAAUCAUUAUUUUAUCAUCAUCCAGCUAGCCUCCCUGAAAUUAAUUAAGGUAGGAAUUAAUCCUUAACUUUCUCAUUAAAUGGUUAACAUUAGAAGUAAAACAACUUCAGCAAGUUCAAAUUUCCCUAGCUUUCCUGUUUACAAAUACUCUAACAUGUCAGGCCAGGCAAGAGACUACUUACCACAGGGAUAUUUCUAGAGUCAGAGUUCUAGAAUAAAAUCUCAGUUCUGUCUUUUACUAUGUAGGUCACUUUGAGUAAAUUAAUUAACUGCUCUAAGUCUGUUUCAUCAUUUAUAAAAUAUGGAUACUAUAUUAAAUUUAUACUUUUUUGAAAUUAAAAUAGUGUAUCUAAAGUUCUGGCAAAUUAAUGACACAUAUAUGUCAUAAAAAUCAAUGAAUCAUCAGCCUUCAAGAGCUGAUUGGAUAAGUGGAGAUAAGGAAGAAAAAUCAAUAGGUCUUCUAUGCUUUUUGAAUGGUUGACUAGAUGAAUGAUGAUGUCAUUCAUGAAGAUGGGAUUACAAAGAAGAUAGAUAUGGUGUGGAUAUGGAUUAGGAAAGAUGUGGUGAAGAGAAAGAUUAUUCUAGUUUUAGGUAUGUUGUAAUUAAGAUGCCUGAUUAUAAGAGGUGCCCUUCGCUGCUUACUCCAUCCAUAUCCCUUUCUAUGGAAAACUAUAUUCAACUUAUACCACUUGACCCCAUGCCUUGCCUAUUCCUUACCCAAGACCCAUAGACCCAGCUGAAAAAGGUGAGCUUAGAAAGUUAGACAUCUGAUUCAAAAAUUGGGAAUGAGGUCAUUAAGGUUAUUAGGAAGUCAUGCUGAAGGAAAAUGCAGGUUUAGUGGCUAAGGUGACCAUUUGAAACAGUAGAGAAAGACAAGAUGAUUGAAUAAAUAAUGAGAGUUAAUAGGUAACAGUGAUGAUGAUGAUAGGUAGACAUAUGGACAAAUAGAUAUAGAUAAAUAGAAAGACAAAUAGACUAGCUUCCACUUAUUAAUUGCUGACUUCUAAAUUUCUAGGUUCUUGGUGAGGCCUAAAAAUACUUAUUCAUGUUAUUAUUAUUUGUAUUCUUAUUUGUGAAUGCAUCCUUAAAAUAAGCCUACUUUGCAAUAGGAUAUGCCUUGACUAGAAUACCGUGGGUGAAACCAUCUACCUAUUUGGUGUUUUUGUUUUUGUUUUUGUUUUUUUCCUGUAAUCACCAAAGGACUCUAAAAUAGUAACUAGUAUGCAUGGUCAAUAAAAAAAUCAUAAUGUAUUUUAGCAAGCUUAGAGUGAUGAUAUUACAGAAAAGUUUAUAUUACGAUUAUGUACUCUGAACUCAACUACGUAUGCUCCUCAUUUCACAGUUGAUCUGUCAUGAAGGGCCAUGUUUAUUUCAUGUAUUAUGAAAUGAUAUGUCACUUAAUCUAAUCCCCCUCUCAGAAACCAAGAAAAUGCAUCACUAAGCAACCAUUUUUGCUUCUCUGCUGUAAGCACUUCUAACAUAGUCAUAUAAAAUUUAGUAAAUGAAACAUAGCAAAGGAUAUAAAAUGCAGUAUACUCAAAAAUCAAGAAUCACAUAACAAUUUUACAUUUUUCUAAGUCCCAUAUUUAGUAUUCCACAUGUCAAUUGGUCUUUGAGGAAAGCUAGAAGACAUGAAGCUUCCCAUUGAGUCUAGUUAUAUCCUAGGUUCCAAAUCUCUGUGGUUACUGAUGGUUUCAAGUAUAUUUAGGCAAGGACUUUGUUUUACUAACUAUCUUUACCUUAGGACAACCUGCAUAACACUUAAUCAUAACAGGGAAAAUUUAAACACAUCACUAAUUUAUUUCCAAAUAUAUACAGAAGGUAGCAUCUUUCUAUUUCUGGAAGGUUGUAUAUAAUAUGCUGUAAUUUAUUAUAGAAAAAUUAAUUUGUUUUUUAAAUCACAGUUUACAAUCCAAAUAUAAUAUACACCAUUGAGUCACUGAUUCAAGCAAGCCUUACAUAGAACUCAGAUUUAGGAGGAUAAUGGGAGCCCCAGAAUUCGUGGCCAUGGAAAGAAGCUGUGGGUGGAGUUCCUGUCGUGGCUCAGCACAAAUGAAUCUGACUAGCAUCCAUGAGGACACAGGUUCAAGCCCUGGCCUUGCUCAAUGGGUUAAGGAUCUGGUGUUGCAGGGUCCUAGGGUGCAGAUGUGGCUCAGAUCUAACAUUGCUGUGGCUGUGGUGUAGGCCAGUGGCUGCAGCUCUGAUUCCACUGCUUGUCUGGGGACCUCCAUAUGCUGCAGAACCCUAAAGAGACAAAAAGAAAAAAAA